UCCGAGUUGACCCCGGCAUUCUAGCCCAGGUAAGGUUCUUCGCGUUGCGUCGAAUUAAACCACAUGCUCCACCGCUUGUGCGGGUCCCCGUCAAUUCCUUUGAGUUUCAGUCUUGCGACCGUACUCCCCAGGCGGAAUGCUUAAAGCGUUAGCGACGGCACCCGGGGACUAUGUAACCCCAGACACCAAGCAUUCAUCGUUUAAGGCUAGGACUAC
Molecule: unclassified non-coding RNA, 216 nt
Filed under: uncultured Acidobacteriota bacterium
Lineage: Bacteria; Pseudomonadati; Acidobacteriota
Description: uncultured Acidobacteria bacterium contains 16S-23S intergenic spacer region
Source: RNAcentral